Hibiscus syriacus is the source of this 1067-nucleotide long non-coding RNA. RefSeq lists it as uncharacterized. Lineage: Eukaryota; Viridiplantae; Streptophyta; Magnoliopsida; Malvales; Malvaceae. The record is from RefSeq and is a predicted model, not a curated record. The transcript is spliced from 5 exons.
CGGUAUCUGUAGUUCUUCCAGAUAGAGGGAAGCUGCCACAAGUGUCGGAAGGGAUCGUCUCCUCGCUGCUCUCGGCAGAUCUUACACUCAAGAAGAGUUUGAAGAUCUGUGUUUUAGUUUCGGGAUUGAACUUGAUGAUGUGACUACGGAGAAAGCGAUAAUUUCGAAAGAGAAGCAUUUGGAGGAGGAAAAACCUAAUUCUGACGAUGAAAUUAUUUACAAGAUUGUACCUGCUAACGGGUAUGACUUUGUUUGAAAGGGCUUGCACAAGCCCUUCGCAUUUUCAAUGGAUAAGAGAAGAUACCCAGAUGCACAGUUGCAUAGAUGAGUUAAGGAAUCGAUGCUUAAAAUGCAUGUGGAAAAAGAGACAUCUCUAAUCCGGCCCUUUGUUGUUUGUGCGGUUUUGAGGGGCAUAAAUUUUGAUGAAGCUAGCUAUAACAGCUUCAUUGAUCUCCAGGAUAAGCUGCACCAAAAUAUUUGCAGGUAACGUUAUCAAACUAGUAAAUCUUUCUGCGUACGUUUUCCAUAAACAUAUGUUUGUCGUCUGCCUAUUUCUGAUCUAAUUUUAACUUGCAAAACAAAUUAGCAUGAGCUGUAAAGAUAUGAUUGAUAUUUAAUCUCUGAUGGAAAAGGGGGAUAUUUACAUGCAUUCAUCAAAGUCCGAGUGGCGAUAGUUUAGUUUCAGUGCUUGGGGUAAUAUGUGGCUUAUUAUAAAUUUACAAUUUGGGUUGGACCUUUGUUGGGAUGACAUGGAGGGGUGAAAAAUAAGAAGAGGGAGCAAAUUGUGCACAUUUUCGUUGAAAGCAAUAUGCAUCAGUUUCUUCUUUAUGUUUAGAAAUGUAAUAAGUGAGACUUACAUGGGAAGUUAUGUUAGGUCCAGUGGCAUCUGCACUCAGCUGCUGAAAUGAGCGUCUUUUGAAAUGGAUGUCCAUUUAGAAUUAUUCCAGCACAGAAACUGAUAUGCUAAAUAUGUUUUACUAACACUUAACAGUAAGAUUUGAAGUUGAAGAAGUUCUUGCACAUUAUCGAGAAUUCAAGUGUGUUCCCUGUCAUUUAUGACCGCAACA